RNAcentral lists this ribosomal RNA (1287 nucleotides) under uncultured bacterium. RNAcentral's name for it is "partial 16S ribosomal RNA". It matches the Rfam family "Bacterial small subunit ribosomal RNA", at positions 94 to 1399 of the family's 1533-position model. The record is from RNAcentral.
AGUGGCGAACGGCUGAGUAACACGUGGAGAACCUGCCCCCUCCCCCGGGAUAGCCGCCCGAAAGGACGGGUAAUACCGGAUACCCCGGGGUGCCGCAUGGCACCCCGGCUAAAGCCCCGACGGGAGGGGAUGGCUCCGCGGCCCAUCAGGUAGACGGCGGGGUGACGGCCCACCGUGCCGACAACGGGUAGCCGGGUUGAGAGACCGACCGGCCAGAUUGGGACUGAGACACGGCCCAGACUCCUACGGGAGGCAGCAGUGGGGAAUCUUGCGCAAUGGGGGGAACCCUGACGCAGCGACGCCGCGUGCGGGACGGAGGCCUUCGGGUCGUAAACCGCUUUCAGCAGGGAAGAGUCAAGACUGUACCUGCAGAAGAAGCCCCGGCUAACUACGUGCCAGCAGCCGCGGUAAUACGUAGGGGGCGAGCGUUAUCCGGAAUUACUGGGUGUAAAGGGAGCGCAGGCGGACCGGCAAGUUGGAAGUGAAAACUAUGGGCUCAACCCAUAAAUUGCUUUCAAAACUGCUGGCCUUGAGUAGUGCAGAGGUAGGUGGAAUUCCCGGUGUAGCGGUGGAAUGCGUAGAUAUCGGGAGGAACACCAGUGGCGAAGGCGACCUACUGGGCACCAACUGACGCUGAGGCUCGAAAGCGUGGGGAGCAAACAGGAUUAGAUACCCUGGUAGUCCACGCCGUAAACGAUGAUUACUAGGUGUGGGGGGACUGACCCCUUCCGUGCCGCAGCAAACGCAAUAAGUAAUCCACCUGGGGAGUACGACCGCAAGGUUGAAACUCAAAGGAAUUGACGGGGGCCCGCACAAGCAGUGGAGUAUGUGGAUUAAUUCGAAGCAACGCGAAGAACCUUACCAGGUCUUGACAUCGUAUGCAUAGCUCAGAGAUGAGUGAAAUCUCUUCGGAGACAUAUAGACAGGUGGUGCAUGGUUGUCGUCAGCUCGUGUCGUGAGAUGUUGGGUUAAGUCCCGCAACGAGCGCAACCCUUAUUCUUAGUAGCCAGCAGGUAAGGCUGGACACUCUAAGGAGACUGCCGGGGAUAACCCGGAGGAAGGUGGGGAUGACGUCAAAUCAUCAUGCCCCUUAUGAUCUGGGCUACACACGUGCUACAAUGGCGUAACAAAGGGAAGCGAGCCUGCGAGGGUGAGCAAAUCCCAAAAAUAACGUCCCAGUUCGGACUGUAGUCUGCAACCCGACUACACGAAGCUGGAAUCGCUAGUAAUCGCGAAUCAGAAUGUCGCGGUGAAUACGUUCCCGGGUCUUGCACACACCGCCCGUCA